GUACAAUCAAUUUACAUGGUUCUCUUCACAUACAGGGCACAAAAGUAGGUUCGAACACAGUUUUGAGUCAGAUAAUAUCUCUGGUUGAGACAGCACAGAUGUCAAAGGCCCCCAUUCAGAAGUUUGCCGACUAUAUCGCAAGCAUUUUUGUUCCUACAGUUGUUACUAUGUCCUUAUUAACAUUCUUUGGAUGGUAUGUUGCUGGGGUUCUUGGAGGCUAUCCAGAAGAAUGGCUUCCAGAAAAUGGCAAUUAUUUUGUGUUUUCUCUGAUGUUUGCAAUAUCUG
This 285-nucleotide unclassified non-coding RNA is filed under the name Hevea brasiliensis (rubber tree). Lineage: Eukaryota; Viridiplantae; Streptophyta; Magnoliopsida; Malpighiales; Euphorbiaceae. The record is from RNAcentral.